Molecule: transfer RNA, 95 nt
Filed under: Candidatus Aenigmatarchaeota archaeon
Lineage: Archaea; Nanobdellati; Candidatus Aenigmatarchaeota
Description: tRNA-Ser
Rfam family: tRNA
About the family: Transfer RNA (tRNA) molecules are approximately 80 nucleotides in length. Their secondary structure includes four short double-helical elements and three loops (D, anti-codon, and T loops).
Source: RNAcentral
GCUCGGAUCGCCUAAUCUGGUAUGGCACAAAAAUAGUGUAAGCCUGGAAAGCUUGCGAGCGCAAGCUCUUGUGGGUUCAAAUCCCACUCCGAGCG